GAAGUGCGAAAAGUGUCAUGACUUGCAGAUUCCCGAGAGCUGACAAACUUCUGAAUGCAAAUGGCGGCCGUCAAAAACGGCCAUGUAUGGCAGAGUGUAGUUGUUCAGACUAAUCACUCCCCUUCUCAUCAUACGUUGGUGGUUAGGAAAGGUAUCUGCGUUUACGAGUUGGCUUUCGGGCCUAUGGCGUGAACGUGAAACAUCGGGCCCUUCAUUUCAGUAGGGAAACCUACUGGAAUGGGGUGACUUCGGAACAAUACCUUCUUUUCUUUUAAGGAAAGGGGGUAACGAUUUGAAGUUUCACAGCGCUCGCAAAUAUAGGUAAUCUACCUCUGCCAUGCAGGAGAACCCGCUGAACUUAA
Molecule: unclassified non-coding RNA, 362 nt
Filed under: uncultured fungus
Lineage: Eukaryota; Fungi
Description: sequence contains ITS1
Rfam family: 5.8S ribosomal RNA (bases 1-100)
Source: RNAcentral